AUGGAGGACGGUUGCUCUAUAAGGACUACUUUAAGCCCGGCCCAACAGUCCCUGAUAAUUUUUUUGCCGACGCUUUUGUUUGCAAAAAAAAGACGUUUUCGUUUGCGCAAACCCUUGUUCUUGCGCGUGGUGGAGGGAGUGGAGGCACAUGAUUCGUACUUCAGGCUCAACAAGGAUUGUUGCAGACAACUCUCGUUCUCUCCUAAGCAGAAAUGCACGGUUGCUAUGAGGAUGCUUGCAUUAGGUACCGCCAUCUAUGCCAUUGGUGAAAUGGUUCGGAUGGGAGAGAGCACAUGCCUGAAGACCACUGUGAGGUUUACCCGAAUAAUGGUGAAGGUGUUUGGAAUAGAGCAUCUAAUAGAACCAAAUGUGCAAGACACAUCAAGGUUGAUGGCUAUUGGAGCGGCUAGAGGUUUUCCAGGUAUGUCCGGUUCAGUUGAUUGCAUGCAUUGA
Molecule: ribosomal RNA, 453 nt
Filed under: Triticum aestivum (bread wheat)
Lineage: Eukaryota; Viridiplantae; Streptophyta; Magnoliopsida; Poales; Poaceae
Description: partial small subunit ribosomal RNA
Source: RNAcentral